GCUGGGGAAAAUAUAAGUAUAAAUGUAUGUAACACCUAAACUGUGCAAUUUUAGACACAUUUUGUAAUGUUGUAUGUGCACUUUGGGUUUUUUUGGUGGGUUUUGUUUUGAUUUUAUUUAAGAAGGGAGAUCUUUGUGUCUUUGUGAUUUUAUUUAAGAAGGCAGAUCUUUGUGUCUUUGAAUCUCCCUUUUGUAGAACUCUUGGACCUGCGGGCCGACCAGAAUCUGAAGCUCCACCCUUCCGCCCUAAAAAGCGACCCUGCUGAAGCCACUGUCCAUUGCAGCACCACCACAGCACGAUGACGUACAUGGAAACCUCCCAUAGUCAGAACAGCUACUGGCUCCAGUCCAAUACUGCGUUGAACUGCCCACGGAACCGGCAGAACAUUUCCUGGUUCGACUACAAGCUGCCUUUGAUGACUGCAGUGACCUUGCUCGUCCCAACGAUUAACCUGGACACGCAUGCUGCUGCCACCCCCACUUCACAUCGUGGACAGGAUGACCAAAUGGGACACUGGGUACGAGAUUGCCCCAACAGAAGAAGAGGAAGAGGAAAAAGAGGAAGAGCGAGAAAUGGUGUGAUGUGUGCUUCUGCUGUGGCCGAAGCGGACAUUGGCCGAGAAUUUGGCGUUCCUGGUGGUGAGAGACGUGGACACAGAGGAGGACACGUCCACCAUGGACAACCCCAAUUGGGCUGAAAAGGUGAAGCGGGGUGGAGCUCCAGACGAAGGCGCGGCCGCAGUCCUGGAGGAAGUUUCAAAUAAGGUCAUGCAUACCUACACUGACACUCACGUUCAAUACAAAAACAUACAAACAUUCCACACUCCCCAAUACACACUGAUACACGCUUACACUCCCUGCACAUUCCACACAUCCUGCUUCCUCUGAGAAGGGAAUUUUUUUUCUUUCCUCAUUGUUGAUUGUAGUGCAGCCAUGUGAAGCACAGUGGAAGAUAUAUUUACCCAAAGUAAAAAAGGAGGCUUCGCGUUUAUAUUGUGCUGCAAUUGUGGGUUUUAUUUUAUUGUGUUACCCCAGCCACAGCAUUUUAAUGUCCAAUGGUACGCUGUAUUAUUUUUUUUCUUGAUUUAAAUGAUAGCAUUGAGAUGACAACAUAGUCCUGGUUAUGACUUGCGCUGUGCCCUUUUUGUUUCCUUGAACCCACACUCACCACCAAGCUGGAGCAUCUGGGACUCAGCUCAUCUUUCUGUCAGUGGAUCUCCAACUUCUUAACUGGGAGACCACAGACAGUAAGGAUGGGCGGACAUGUCUCAGCCUCCAUCACUCUCAGCACUGGAGCCCUGGUACAAGAGGAACAAUCUCCACCUGAACGUCAGCAAGACAAAGGAGUUAAUUCUGCACUUCAGUACCAAGCAGGAGAGGACCUACCAGACCCGUCAUCAGCAGGAGCCCAGUGGACAUAGUGGACAGCUUCCGUUACCUCGGUGUUAACAUCACGCAGGACCUGUCAUGGUCCUGUCACAUCAACACCGUGGUGAAAAAGGCCCGGCAGCGUCUCUACCAACUCAGACGCCUGAGAGACUUCAGACUGCCCUCCAAGGUGCUCAGGAACUUCUACUCCUGCACCAUAGAGAGCAUCCUGACGGGAAACAUCUCAACCUGGUUUGGGAACUGCACCAUGAAGGACAGGCGAGCCCUACAGAGGAUGGUUCCAUUAGCUGAACGCAUCAUCUGUACCAAGCUCCCUGACCUUCAAUCAAUCUACAGCAAGCGGUGCUGGACAAGGCCAGGAAGAUAGUGAAGGACCUCAGCCACCCCAACAAUGGGCUGUUCUCUCUGCUGCGGUCAAGGAAGUCCAACACAGAGAGAAUGAGGAGGAGCUUCUUCCCGCAGGUCAUAUGAGCUCUCAACAACCACAACACUUCAUAGAACUCCAAUACACUCCAGCACUUUCACUCUCAAUCACUUCUAGACUCAAUCCCCACAGUAUUUUUGCGCAAACUCUUUAAACUUUACUCUUUUUUUAAUCUUGCACAAAUGUUUUACUUUUUCACGUUAUUCCUUGCUGUUACACAUAUUUUAUGUUUUAUGCUAAAGACAUAAAAGUGUAAUAUUUGGUUAUGUUUGCAAUAUUUGCAUAUUGGUUCAUUGUAAACUUGCAAUAUUUGCAAUACUGUGGUCUGUAGCAGUCGCCAAAGCAUUUCACUGCAUAUCAUACCGUGUAUGACUGUGUAUGUGACAAAUAAAAUUUGAAUUUGAAUUUGAAUGCUCCACAGUCGGUAAAGUUGUGUGGGAUGUAUUUUUUGGCAGGGGAUAAAAGUGGUUGCCUUACUGGCUGUUGUUACCUUGCCAUAUCUUGCUACACAUUUGGAUUUCUUGCCUGAUCAUGUGGUGGCUUUGAUGUUCUAUUCAAAGCCAAUGAAUUGAGCAGUAAAGACACCAGGUUCCUAUAUGCUGUUUCAAGUGCACCACGGCCCUAGCGCAAAACCCGUUCAAAUUCAUAUUUGUCUUGUAAAACUACUGACAUUAAACAUGAAUUUGGCAACAUAAUGCAUUAAUCAUGUGCAAAAAUCUGUAUAUUAUCAAGUUAUUUAACAGUAGUUCAUGUUAACUAGUUAUGUUACAUGCUGUCAAACUUAUAGCUGUAGUUAAAGCUACCAGGUGUACAAACAAUAAAAACCAUAAUGUAUUAUUAUUAUUGGUGGACCGUUAUCGGCGUUAACGUGCUGCGUUAACGUGAGACUCUUAUCGGGCGAUAAAAAAAAUAUUGCCGUUAAUAUAUUCACAAAGUUGGGUUGGGAGCUGGGUCUAUACUACGCAAGCUAUUGUGCCGGAGUUAAAUGGUUACACUAGAUUUAUAAGUAUUUAUCUUCUUAUUUUCUAAAGACUUUUAUUUUGUUUGAGACCCGGUUCUGGUCUCUUGGACACAUGGCGUGAGCUGUGAGAGGUCCGUGUGGUUUGUGUGCAAAAAGUUAUUUCUUUCAUUUUAAUUUAUGUACAUAUUAGUAAUAUUUUGCAUGUGUGUUAUUUUGUGAAUAUUUUUUUUAUGUUCUUUUAAUACUGUAUAUUGUAGAGAGAGGUGCAGAAAGACGCGAUGUUCUGACGCGACCUUGCUUUUUGUACAGGAAUGCAGUAUUGUAAAUUGUGAAUGCUUUAUGUUAAUGUUCAGUUCUCUCGGAC
Denticeps clupeoides (denticle herring) is the source of this 3138-nucleotide long non-coding RNA. The record is from Ensembl. Lineage: Eukaryota; Metazoa; Chordata; Actinopteri; Clupeiformes; Denticipitidae.